UGCCAGUAGUCAUAUGCUUGUCUCAAAGAUUAAGCCAUGCAUGUCUAAGUAUAAAUAACUUUAUACUGUGAAACUGCGUACAGCUCAUUAAAUCAGUAAUUAUUUAUUUGAUGGUACCUUACUACAUGGAUACCUGUAGUAAUUCUAGAGCUAAUACAUGCACAAAGUCUCGACUUCACGGAAGAGAUGUAUUUAUUAGAUAAAAAACCAAUGCUGGUUCUGCCAGCUUCUGUGGUGACUCAUAAUAACUGAUCGAAUCGCAUGGUCUUGUACCGGCGAUAGUUCAUUCAAAUUUCUGCCCUAUCAGCUUUCGACUGUAGUGUAGUGGACUACAGUGGCACUUACGGGUGACGGAGAAUUAGGGUUCGGUUCCGGAGAGGGAGCCUGAGAAAUGGCUACCACAUCCAAGGAAGGCAGCAGGCGCGCAAAUUACCCAAUCCUGAUACAGGGAGGUAGUGACAAAAAAUAACAAUACUGGGCCUUUUCGGUCUGGUAAUUGGAAUGAGUACAAUUUAAAUCCCUUAACGAGGAUCCAUUGGAGGACAAGUCCGGU
RNAcentral lists this ribosomal RNA (553 nucleotides) under Cercomonadida environmental sample. Its description in RNAcentral is "SSU rRNA". It matches the Rfam family "Eukaryotic small subunit ribosomal RNA", at positions 15 to 565 of the family's 1831-position model. Lineage: Eukaryota; Cercozoa; Cercomonadida. The record is from RNAcentral.